This 77-nucleotide transfer RNA is filed under the name Acidobacteriota bacterium. RNAcentral's name for it is "Acidobacteria bacterium tRNA-Arg". It matches the Rfam family "tRNA". From Rfam's summary of the family: Transfer RNA (tRNA) molecules are approximately 80 nucleotides in length. The record is from RNAcentral. RNAcentral also lists the same sequence under 1 other name. Lineage: Bacteria; Pseudomonadati; Acidobacteriota.
GCGCCCGUGGCUCAAUUGGAUAGAGCAUCGGCCUACGGAGCCGGUGGUUGCAGGUUCGAGUCCUGCCGGGCGCGCCA